GACGAACGCUGGCGGCGUGCCUAAUACAUGCAAGUUGAGCGCUGAAGGUUGGUACUUGUACCAACUGGAUGAGCAGCGAACGGGUGAGUAACGCGUGGGGAAUCUGCCUUUGAGCGGGGGACAACAUUUGGAAACGAAUGCUAAUACCACAUAAAAACUUUAAACACAAGUUUUAAGUUUGAAAGAUGCAAUUGCAUCACUCAAAGAUGAUCCCGCGUUGUAUUAGCUAGUUGGUGAGGUAAAGGCUCACCAAGGCGAUGAUACAUAGCCGACCUGAGAGGGUGAUCGGCCACAUUGGGACUGAGACACGGCCCAAACUCCUACGGGAGGCAGCAGUAGGGAAUCUUCGGCAAUAGACGAAAGUCUGACCGAGCAACGCCGCGUGAGUGAAGAAGGUUUUCGGAUCGUAAAACUCUGUUGGUAGAGAAGAACGUUGGUGAGAGUGGAAAGCUCAUCAAGUGACGGUAACUACCCAGAAAGGGACGGCUAACUACGUG
Molecule: ribosomal RNA, 497 nt
Filed under: uncultured bacterium
Lineage: Bacteria
Description: partial 16S ribosomal RNA
Rfam family: Bacterial small subunit ribosomal RNA
Source: RNAcentral